UACUAAUGGAUUCUAGGUGACACUAAUUUAUAGCUACAUUAUUUUUUGAAAGUAUUAAGUAAUUGUUAGGUCUUAUUCAGACAACAUUAAUGUUUUUAUAGGUGGGAUCUAAUCGUCGUGGGGGUAUGGACUGACCUCUUGCAAAGAAAUGCUCUACGAUGGUCGUUAGCUAGAGUUGACAAUAACAUAAUUAUUGGAACUAUGCUGCGUCGUAACAAUAAACACAGAUGCUUGGAAACCUCGGAUUACAGCACCGUUCAUUUCAACCCAGAUCAUCACACUACAUACCACUUGAAGACUAUUCGACGUUCGUUGAUUCAAAAUCCAAGGCGUCGUAUCGUCGACAAAUUUCUUGAGAACAGACGGGCACAUCUCACAACUGUGAUAUCUGAUUGAGACGUAUUCUAGCUUGUUAUAGUAGAUACUUUGUUAGUUAUGAUUUAGAUGAAACUUAGUAGUAAUGAUUUGUUCUCUAUUUUGUAUUAGUCGUGUGUUCGGUCUCAAUGGUGAUCACUUUGUA
Zea mays is the source of this 520-nucleotide long non-coding RNA. RefSeq lists it as uncharacterized. Lineage: Eukaryota; Viridiplantae; Streptophyta; Magnoliopsida; Poales; Poaceae. The transcript has 3 exons. The record is from RefSeq and is a predicted model, not a curated record.